RNAcentral lists this non-coding RNA (177 nucleotides) under Arenibacter sp. ARW7G5Y1. The record is from RNAcentral. Lineage: Bacteria; Pseudomonadati; Bacteroidota; Flavobacteriia; Flavobacteriales; Flavobacteriaceae.
CUAGUUGCGAAGCUAGGACUGAAGGAAGCAGGACUACAAAACUCGGUACUGACGAACAGGAACCAGAUACGAGGCUGUGAGGAUGGAUGAGCAAGCACAUCAUUGUGAAGUCCAAAACACUUUUAAGUGAAUGCCGUAGCAGUAGAUCUGGCAGGAAUCGAGGGAAACCUCGCCUAU